This 192-nucleotide unclassified non-coding RNA is filed under the name Glomus sp. RNAcentral's name for it is "partial contains 5.8S ribosomal RNA and internal transcribed spacer 2". The stretch from base 1 to 65 matches the Rfam family "5.8S ribosomal RNA", at positions 84 to 154 of the family's 154-position model. The record is from RNAcentral. Lineage: Eukaryota; Fungi; Glomeromycota; Glomeromycetes; Glomerales; Glomeraceae.
GUGAAUCAUCGAAUUUUUGAACGCAAAUUGCACUCUCUUCGGAGAGUAUGCCUGUUUGAGGGUCAGCCUAUAAAAAAUCGACAUAGUUGCUGUUUCGCGGUGACGUUCGUCGGAAAUUGGGUCAUCUUAAACCUUUGGGUUUUAAGAGGGUUAAAAUUUUUUUUACUUUUUCACGAACGUUUCUAUGAUUUA